RNAcentral lists this ribosomal RNA (473 nucleotides) under Micrococcineae bacterium CL2.110. Its description in RNAcentral is "bacterial SSU rRNA". It matches the Rfam family "Bacterial small subunit ribosomal RNA", at positions 17 to 503 of the family's 1533-position model. The record is from RNAcentral. RNAcentral also lists the same sequence under 5 other names. Lineage: Bacteria; Bacillati; Actinomycetota; Actinomycetes; Micrococcales.
CCCUGGCUCAGGAUGAACGCAGGCGGCGUGCUUAACACAUGCAAGUCGAACGAUGAUCCCAGCUUGCUGGGGGAUUAGUGGCGAACGGGUGAGUAACACGUGAGUAACCUGCCCUUAACUCUGGGAUAAGCCUGGGAAACUGGGUCUAAUACCGGAUAUGACUCCUCAUCGCAUGGUGGGGGGUGGAAAGCUUUAUUGUGGUUUUGGAUGGACUCGCGGCCUAUCAGCUUGUUGGUGAGGUAAUGGCUCACCAAGGCGACGACGGGUAGCCGGCCUGAGAGGGUGACCGGCCACACUGGGACUGAGACACGGCCCAGACUCCUACGGGAGGCAGCAGUGGGGAAUAUUGCACAAUGGGCGAAAGCCUGAUGCAGCGACGCCGCGUGAGGGAUGACGGCCUUCGGGUUGUAAACCUCUUUCAGUAGGGAAGAAGCGAAAGUGACGGUACCUGCAGAAGAAGCGCCGGCUAACUA